GACGAACGCUGGCGGCGUGCCUAAUACAUGCAAGUUGAGCGAUGAAGAUUGGUGCUUGCACCAAUUUGAAGAGCAGCGCACGGGUGAGUAACGCGUGGGGAAUCUGCCUUUGAGCGGGGGACAACAUUUGGAAACGAAUGCUAAUACCGCAUAACAACUUUAAACAUAAGUUUUAAGUUUGAAAGAUGCACUUGCAUCACUCAAAGAUGAUCCCGCGUUGUAUUAGCUAGUUGGUGAGGUAAAGGCUCACCAAGGCGAUGAUACAUAGCCGACCUGCGGGGGGGAUCAGCCCCAAUGGGACUGGAACACGGCCCAAGAUCCUACGGGAAGCAACAAGAGGGGAACUUCGGGAAAUGACGGAAGGCUGACCGGGGAACGCCGGCGUAGGGAAUGAGGUUCUCGGGACGUAAAAAUCGUUUGAUAGGGAAGAACGUUAGUGGGAGUUAAAUACUCAUCAAGUGACGGUAACUACUCAGAAAGGGACGGCUAACUACGUG
RNAcentral lists this ribosomal RNA (497 nucleotides) under uncultured bacterium. Its description in RNAcentral is "partial 16S ribosomal RNA". It matches the Rfam family "Bacterial small subunit ribosomal RNA", at positions 28 to 507 of the family's 1533-position model. The record is from RNAcentral.